This 9580-nucleotide long non-coding RNA is filed under the name Hordeum vulgare. RNAcentral describes it as "long non-coding RNA (HVUL_LNC018300)". The record is from RNAcentral. Lineage: Eukaryota; Viridiplantae; Streptophyta; Magnoliopsida; Poales; Poaceae.
GCCAGGGGUGCUGGUGCCGGAGGCGCUGGGGCUGGGCAACUGGGUGAAGGCGCAGGAGUGGGCGGCGCUCCCAGACGGGCAGGCGACGUACCUGGGCAACCCGGUGCCGUGGGGCAACCUGCCGACCAUCCUGGCGAUCGAGUUCCUGGCCAUCGCCUUCGCGGAGCAGCAGCGCACCAUGGAGAAGGACCCGGAGAAGAAGAAGUACCCCGGCGGCGCCUUCGACCCGCUCGGCUUCUCCAAGGACCCCGCCAAGUUCGAGGAGCUCAAGCUCAAGGAGAUCAAGAACGGUACGUCCCAGUCCCAUCACAUAUACCCCGUUAUCGAAUGAAGAAUCAUACGUAGAUAGAACAAGCUGACGCGUUCGUCCGUGGGGAAUGCAUUGCAGGGCGGCUGGCGAUGCUGGCGUUCGUGGGGUUCUGCGUGCAGCAGUCGGCGUACCCCGGCACCGGCCCGCUGGAGAACCUGGCCACGCACCUCGCGGACCCGUGGCACAACAACAUCGGCGACAUCGUCAUCCCCAGAAAUAUCUACGGCCCUUGAGCGGAGCCGACCGGGCUGAGAGGAGAUCGAGGAGCCGGAGCGCAUGGUUUUCAUUCAUGUUUCUGAGUCGAUCCAUUGGUUGAUCACCUUGCCACGCUGGCUCUGCGCGCGCACCGUCCGUGCGUGCUGGAACUGUACAACAACGUCGGCUCUCCGGCCGGCAACCUUUGUAAUGUGUAAAGCUUAAGUAGCGGCCGCUGUUGCGAAUGCAUCCGUGUGAUCUGUAUAAAUUCUUUGCAUGAUGAUGUGUACGGAUAGUUAUCACGUGAUCACCUUAACAUUUCAUUGAGCUUAGGACAUCCCCAACGCGGCCCACCAAACAGAAGUCAUCACAUGUCCACGGACAGUCAGACUAUCAUAAUAAAGGAUAACAUAUAAAGUAGUAACAUGAAUAUGUUACUAGUAUAAGUUAUCAUCUCUAUAAUGGAUAGUAACAUAGAGAUUUUCAUCUAUUAGUUUGGGGUCCUGAUAUUCAUCAUAGUGUGAUAUAUUAGACAUCCACACACACCGUGUAUGGCGUACACAGAAGGUAGCCCACACGAAUUGUGUGUGGGAGAAUAAUAGAACUGACCACAUGUGUGGACACAACUACUUCAUGCCACACGUCCAACAAGUAUUAUCCAUCCCCAUUUGCGUGUGUAACACGAAGUAAAUCUUGUUGGAAUUAUGCCCUAGAGGCAAUAAUAAAUGUAUAGUUAUUAUUAUAAUUCCUGUAUCAAGAUAAUAGUUUAUUAUCCAUGCUAUAAUUGUAUUGAAUGAAGACUCAUUUACAUGUGUGGAUACAUAGACAAAACACCGUCCCUAGCAUGCCUCUAGUUGGCUAGCCAGUUGAUCAAUGAUAGUCAGUGUCUUCUGAUUAUGAACAAGGUGUUGUUGCUUGAUAACUGGAUCAUGUCAUUGGGAGAAUCACNNNNNNNNNNNNNNNNNNNNNNNNNNNNNNNNNNNNNNNNNNNNNNNNNNNNNNNNNNNNNNNNNNNNNNNNNNNNNNNNNNNNNNNNNNNNNNNNNNNNAUGUGUGGAGUAAUAGUAGUAGAUGCAGAAAGUAUCGGUCUACUUGUCUCGGACGUGAUGCCUAUAUGUAUGAUCAUUGCCUUAGAUAUCAUCAUGAUUUUGCACGGUUCUAUAAAUUGCGCAACAGUAAUUUGUUCACCCAGUGUAAUAUUUUCUAUUUUGAGAGAAGCCUCUAGUGAACACUAUGGUCCCCGGGUCUACUUCACAUCACAUUUUCAGCCUUACACUUUUACUUCGUUGCUCUUUCCGCCUUCAGAUCUCAGUUUGCAAUCAAUCUUGAAGGGAUUGACAACCCCUUUAUAGCAUUGGGUGCAAGCUCGUUUGUGUUUGCGCAUGUACUCUGGACACCUGGCUUUGAUUCUCCUAGUGGAUUGAUACCUUGGUUCUCAAAACUAAGGGAAAUUCUUACUGCUCAUGUGCUGCAUCACCCUUUCCUCUUUUUUUUUGACCGGCUACUGUAGGGAAAACCCCCCACAACCUUUUUUCUUUUAUUCCCAUAUAUAAGAGAAGUAUGUACAAGGAGAAAUUAGAAUGUACAAAUGGGAAGAGGAGCUAAAGCUACAAACCUCAAGGAGGCAAAAAGGAAACCCAUUUAAGGAGACCAUCCCUGAAACUAGCCUUAAUUCUAUGAGCUAAGAGGGAAAUGUCAUGGAUGAAGCCAGAUCUCCAUUUUCUGAACUUUGGCUGCUCCUGGUUAAAGACCUUUGCAUUUCUGAUAGUCCAGAUGUUCCAACAUGCAGUGAAGACCACCUCAGCAAAGAAGGGGUUAUGGAAGUCUCUUUUAGCAGCGAUAGUAGCACUCCACAUGGAUGGACCCUGCCAUGUGAUCUACAGGUAAUUCCAGACCCUGGUACUGAAAAGACAGGUGAAGAAUAAGUGAUCUGUGUCUUCCUUGACUCGAGCAUGGCAUAGAACACAGAGAUUGGAGUCGGAAACAUUCCAGUGACGCCGUUCAAGCAUGUCUUGAGUGUUAAGCCUGUCCAUGAUGAGCAUCCAGGCAAACAUCUUAAUCUUCAUGAUACAACAGCUUUUCCACAUCCAGUUGAGUAAAGGGUUUGGUGUAAUACUGCUGUGAAUGUGAGUGUAGUAUCUCUUGGCUGUGUAGGCCUUAGCAUCUUUUCCCCAUACCCAUCUGUCAGAGGCCUGAUGAUCAAUAUCCAGGUCUUGAAGCAAAGAUUGGACUGAAAGCAGCUCCUGGUAAGCCUGAGCACACAGUGGCAAGUGGAACAUAGAGAGCAUGCUGUCAUCAUACAAGGCUGUAAAGGCCUGUUGAGCUGUGCAGAAAGGAUCAGCCACAAAAGAAAAAAGUCUUUGAAAUCUAGCAGCCAGGGGCCUAGUGGAGUUUCCAAUCAACCAGGAGUCAUACCAAAACAGGAAGGAGUCACCCUUGUUAGGCAGAACAUAUGUAACUGAUCUGAAUUUGUCAAGCCGUUUACAGAUAUCCUUCCACCAAAAAGAACCACAAAGGGCAGUUCCCUGAGGUACUGUGUCAUGAUAGUAAGUGUUCCAAAUCAAGUGAACCCAUGGGAUAUCAGCAUGAUUUAGAAAUUUAUCAACAUGCUUGAGAAGGAGUGCUUCAUUCUGGAUUGCUAGGUUCAUAAUACCUAACCCCCGUGUAUUUUUAGGUCUGCACACCAGUUGCCAGGCAGCAAGAGAGGGUGCAUGAUCUUGCCCAUUUUUCCUCCAUAGACAUUGCCUUUGAAUUCUUUCAAGCUGCUUCAGUAUGCCUGGUGGGAUAUCCAGACUGCAUAGAAAGAAGAUAUGCACCGAAGAUAGUGCUGAGUUCAAAUACUGUAACCUUCCCCCCUGAGCUAGAAAAGAUGAACUAGCACUGAGUCUUCUUUCCAUGUUAUCAACCAGUGGCAUGAGAUCAAUGAUUCUUGGUUUAGUUGUCCCAACUGGUAGGCCAAGGUAUGUGAAGGACAAAGAUCCCACUUUGCAGCCAAUGGAGUCUGCCAGGUCCUGGAGUUGCUGUGGAGGAGUGUUGACAGGUAGAAGGGCAGAUUUGUGAUAAUUCACCUGUAAUCCAGUGGAUUGGGAGAAAAGUAAGAGCAUUUUCUUGAACUGUAGGAAUUGAGGUUUAUCGGCAGGUAGGAUGAUAACGGUAUCAUCAGCAUAUUGCACUAUGGGGAAGUCCUUCUCAUGACAAGGUAUGGGCAGCUUAAUCAGACCCUCCACCAGCAGUUGGUUAACCAGAGUCUGUAAAAAAUCAGCAGCAAUUGCAAAAAGCAGUGGGGACAUGGGAUCUCCCUGCCUGACUCCUUUCUUGCACAUAAACUUCUUUCCAGGCACACCAUUGAUCAGGACCGAAGAUGAGCCAAAAGUUAGUAGCUGCUUGACCCAAAGUAUCCAUUUGUCAUUGAAGCCUUUGUGCUUGAGAAUCUGAAAAAUGAACUCAUGUUCCACAGAGUCAAAUGCCUUUUCAAUAUCCAGCUUGAGAAUGACUAUAGGUUUUUGGAUUGAUGGCAUUGGUGCAGGUACUCCAGAGUCCAUCCAACACAAUCUUGAAUGGUUCUAGACUUCAUAAAACCAUACUGAUUCUUGUGAAGACACUUCACAAUCUGCAACUGUAGCCUGUUAGCAAUCAUUUUGGACAAAAAUUUGAGACCCAUCCCAGUAAGUGAUAUUGGUCUGUAAUCUCCCACUUGUUCAGGUGAUCUCUUCUUGGGAAUCAGAGUAAUAUAAGAUGAGUUCAUGUUCUCCAGUUGAGCAUGACCAGCAUGGAAAGCAGCAGCAAGUUGAUAAAACUCAGGGGAGAUAAUGGGCUAGCAUUUCUUGAAGAAAAGACCAUUAAAACCAUCAGGACCAGGAGCUUUGUCAAUGGGCAUUUCCUAAACAGUCUUGUCCAUUUCAUACUUAGAAAAAUGUUCUGUGAGAAUAUCCAGACCCUCAACCUUAUGAAGCAUAAAUUGUAAAUCAAAUGCCAUGUUAAUACCAAGAGAAGUGCUCAUUCUAUCCUUAAAAGAUGCCCAAAAGCAUGCAGCAAUUUGAUCAUGAUCAGAUAUGAUGGAACCAUCAUAUAACUUGAGAGAUGCAAUGGAAUUCCUCCUAUAUCUCUCAGUAGCCAUAGCAUGGAAGAAUUUAGUGUUUUCUUCACCAACUUUAACAAAUCUGAUAGUGGCUCUCUUUUUCCAGUAUAAGCACUGGAGAUGCAAAAGUUGCUCCAAGUGUAACUUAACAAUUUUCCUAAAGUUAGCCUCUGGUCUGAAUAGUGUCCUCAAUUCCUCAAGCUCAUCCAAACACAACACAACUUGAUUACAUCUGGAGAUGAAAGUUUUCAACUGAGAUAGGUUUGUCUGCCACUUUUUCAGAGCCUGCCUAAGAUGUUUCAUCUUAUCCAUAAUGACAGCAGUAAUAUGGGUUUUCCUGGAAGGAAUGAGCCAGGAUUGCUGAACACACUCCAUGAAGCCCUCCAUUUCAACCCAGUACUUUUCAAAGCGGAAUAAGUUGCACUUUGGGAUGGAAGUGUUGACAGUGACCACACAAGGAACAUGAUCAGAAACUGUCUUUGCAAGGGGUAGCACUUGUGUAAGAGGAUAUGAGGAGAUCUAGUUGGCUGAUGUGAAAAACCAGUCAAGCUGCUCCAGAAGAGGGGAAUCUUGCAUAUUGGACCAAGUGAAAGAUCUGCCUUUAAUGGGUAGUUCCAGCAAUCCUAGAUGCCCAAUAAUUUCAUUGAAGAUGAACAUGUCAUUUACAUCAGCCCCAUGAAGGUUUCUGUUGUCAGGGGAUCUAAUGAAAUUAAAAUCUCCAAGAAGCAACCAAUUAGCCCCAGUGGGUAUAUGAAGAUUGUAUAGCCAGCUAACAAAAAGAUCUCUGGCUUCACCUUGACAAGGACCAUAGACAUUCACCAAAGUCCAGGAUUCACCAGUAUGAUUUGAGGUAAAGGAGAUGAUCAAGCCAUAGGGUGUGCAUUCAACUAAUUGACCAGUAAGAACGGAAGAGUUCCAAAGGGUGAUAAGCCCCCCUGAUGCCCCCCUGGAGGGAGAGUAGGCAAACUGAUCAAAGCGUUUGGGACAGAAACACUUGACUGUACAAACUCAAUUGACUGCAUUUUGGUUUCCUGCAAGCACACCAAAGCAGCUAGGCUCUCAUCAAUCUUGUUACGGACCGCAUGUUGCCUAUGGUCCGAAUUUAGGCCACGCACAUUCCAACACAGCACACGCCAACUUCUCGUAGAACGACUAUCCAUUGCACAAUAUAUAUAGAGCAAAUGCAGGGCUAUGUAAUAGCCUGUGCGACCAAGGUUCAGUUAACCAAAAGACAGAGCAAGCAGAAGUCUCACAGUACAUGGAGCCAGUACAGUAACAAAUGAACAUAAGUGAAUUAAUCAUCAGCAGACGAUGGCGCGGAUUCCNNNNNNNNNNNNNNNNNNNNNNNNNNNNNNNNNNNNNNNNNNNNNNNNNNNNNNNNNNNNNNNNNNNNNNNNNNNNNNNNNNNNNNNNNNNNNNNNNNNNNNNNNNNNNNNNNNNNNNNNNNNNNNNNNNNNNNCAGCAGGAUCUUCCAUAAGUCGAUCCACCGUUAGCUUCUCAGGGGCAAUGCCUAGUGACUGCCCAACCUCAUGUAUCACUGGAAUAUGAGUGGCAGGAGGUACUUGCACAUCAUCAAACUCCUGCGAAGGAGCAGGCAUUGGCUUGGCCUUGGGCUUCCUCUUCUUGGCGACGUGCGCUGGCAGCUCCUGCAGGAUCGGUUUGAAGCCAUCGCGCUUGAUGGAGCCGCGAGUACAUCGACGAACAGAGGAGUCGACGACAGGAGUGGCCUUCUUGCGGGUCCCUUUCUUCGUUGGAGCAGGAGAAUGAAAGGAUUAGUCCUCCGCAGAUGAAGAUGGACUGACAGGGAUUACCUCCUGCACGGAGAGUGUGCUGCUAGCAGGCUCUGGUGGUGGUAGCGCUGGAGCAGCAGGAUCGAAGGCCACCGCCCAUGAUCGCUUGGGGAUCACAAUGGGUGCCACCAUUGGCAUCUGCAGCUGGUGAGGCACGUGCAUAGAAGUAGCAGCUCCCAUGAGAGCAUCAAAAGUACGGGACCAGGAUAGAACAGGCAGCAGAGGAGGCCCGUAAACAACCCUGGCAGCCCCAACAAAGAGGUUGUCAGACUGAAUGUGAGGAGGUUUAUAUAGGGCAAUCACGAGAGGAUUGUCAUCUGGCGCCUCCUCCAUCCCAAGCACAUCCUCCUCCGAUUCAGCAUCAGGACCCUGGACAACCGGUGCCAUGUCAGCAUUAGGGGCGAGAGGGUUAGCCACUAUCACCUCCAGCUCAGGGGCCGGGGGGUCUUGAUCAGCAGGUUCCGCCUCCAUGUCACCCUGCGGCUGAGGGUCGAGGUCCACAAGCUCAUGAGCCGAGUCAGAUGAAGAAGGACUCGGUUGAUCAAUCACGAUGGACUCUUGAUCCUGAACAGGAUCAACAGCAGGUGCUUCUGGGGCCGCUUCAGGUUCCCAUCCUCCUCCAUCAGCGGCUGCCGGCGGCUGUCCCCAACCACCGUCAUCAGCAGCAGCAGUAGCAGGAACCACUGGAUCUUCAGGUGCCAGCGGCACCGCAUUCCAUCCCAACACAGGGUAUGGGGGCAGAGAAAAUUGCAGAUUGUCGUUGACGAGAUGUCCAGUAAGCGGGUGAGGGUUGCCAUUGAGGGGCAUGGGAUCCUCAUCAUUGGGCAGUAUUUCGGCAGGCGCUGCCCCCAGGAUGUAUACCGGUGCAGACCAAGACACCUUGGCCCCCCCCCCCAAGCAGUAUAUUCAGAGAAGUUGAUACUGCGAGGGAGAAGUCGGUCGUCUGGGAACGAAGCAAACACAAUGGAGCGAACCAAGUAAGGAUCAUCACUGACCCAAUGAUGGAACUCUCCGAAGGUGUUGACAGCAGCCCGCAAGUCUUCCGUAUUGCGGAAGUCGAGGGGGACCCCUAGCAGCAUGAGGCACCCAUGGCGAAAACCCUCUUGCCCACGGAAACCAACUCCCUGAUCAUGUCACAGGAAGCGCACCACAGAGUUAUGAGCGACUUCCUGCGGAACCAUGUGAACCGCAGCGUAGCUCUCCGCCACAUCUCUGAGUUCAAACAGUCCAACGCCCUCAAUCCAUGGCUGGGAAGAUCGAACAUGCAACCCUCGGUGAAGAAGAAGAGCAGCUACUUCUUGCCGUACCUGGACCAAGUGGUCAGCCGGGGGCGCAGGGUGGAUGUCAGCGAUUACGAAGCGCUCAUGACGCCUGGUGAUGGGGACCGCAGGCGUGGUGUAGGUCCCAGGCAGCCGGUCAGGUCCUCCGUCGAUGAUGUUGUGGCCCGGCGGGAGAAAGAACUCAGGAUCAAGCUCGAAGUUCACUAUUGUGGGAGGCGGUGGCGGAGUGGCAGGCGGCGUCUCGGAGGGAGUUCGAGGAUGCGACGGCGAUGAGACAGGACGGAACUGUGCUGCAGGCGUUGCGGUUUCGCCAAGAGUAUCACAGUUCCCAAGAUAUCAGCGAUAGGGGAGCUGGUGGGUCUCUUACAGUUCCAAGUAAGACAAUUAUUACGCAUAAAAGAGGCUCCUCUAGAUCGUGCGUGACCCACAGUUCUAUCAGCAAAUCCAGGCGAAGCCGUGCAGUUGGCAGCUAGAUGUCCCCGAGCGUUCAAAUCGAGCAAGAAAAGAUUUCCUCAACCAUGCCAUUAAUAAGUUCAUCAAAGGCCAGAUGGUCUUCCUGCGAGGAGGGAAUAUCCAUCCUAGGAUUAGGUUUGGGCCGAGAGAAGGAGGUAACCUCAACAGGCUCAUUAAUGAGCAUGGAAAUCGGUCCAGAGUCCAAACUUACCACCGAAAAUUGAUUCUCAUAAUUCAAAAUACCAUGAAUCUCGGCGGGAUCACCUGCAGCACCUUGUUGCACGGGAGAAGUUCCGUUUAAUUUGGCAAUUUGUAAAUCAGCUCCAGGAGAUCCGGGGGGUGAAUCUUGGCGAGAAACUGUGCCGAACGUGAUAUGCGGCGUGGUUGUCGUCCACCGGAGUUCUGCCGGCGGUGGCGCAGAGAUGAUGACACGUUCAGGAGAGGGCACCGAAUAACCAGCCUGUUCAAGCGUGAGUAGCUCAUCGUGGGAAACAGGACAUCUAUAACCCUUGCAAACCUCAUAUUGCUGGAGGGAUGCGAAUGUGAGCUUCUUACGAACAGAUGAUCCAGAUUUAAGAGAAGAUUUUAGAGGUCUGGAAUGCAUCGCCAUCAGACCUAGUGAGGCUCUCCGCUUAGAUGGACUCACAAUAAUCCAUUCAGCAUCACAUUGCUUCUUCCACAGAGCGAAUUCCCGACGCCAAUUCGGACCACAAUGGCCCCAUAGAUGGAAAAAGCACUUAAAACUUGAGCAUUUGAACGAGCGAAAGUCCAAAAUAUGAAAACCAACUUGCAUGCAUGACACUUUGAAGGAGAAAACCGAGUCUGUCACUUGAGAGACGCGAAACUCAAUAGCAGAUCCCCCAAUCACAGAUUCCAGAGCUGCCGCGACUGUGUCCUUAGAGAGACGGAACACAUGAAGACCAAAAGAAACCACCAUGAUGAAGGAGCGGCGGUGCUUCAUAGGGUGCACCGUAACACCAGAGUGACGAUAAACUCAUCGGCGAAUGCCAAACCAUGAGAAAAAUCCAGAUCCAACAUGGAACCACCCAUGCAAGCCAUGCACGACCAUGUGGGGGGGGGGGGUCGGGAGGGUUCACCUGAGCAGAGGAGCGGCGAGGAGGGUGGAUACGCCGGCUAGAGCACCAGAUCGCCAUUGGGUCGCCGCGGUGGGAGGUGGGAGGUGGGAGUCGCCAUCCGUCUCUUCAUUUCCAUCUUCACCCUUUCCUCCUCAAGGGAAAAACCAACGCAAGCUCAAGAGGCAGCAUCCCUCUCGUCGCCCUGGUGCUCACGUCGCCCCGCCCCGGCCUCCUGCACCACCUGCCGGUGCCGGCCACCAUGCCAGGGGCCCCCCUCCCCUCACAGCGCCGCCGUCACCCUUCUCCAGUGCCGGCCCAGGGCCCUCCAACGCGCCGGAUCCGCCCCGCCUCCGGCCACCUCGACACCGACAAUGCUCCGAGCCACCACAUCCACCGGCC